Molecule: long non-coding RNA, 1111 nt
Organism: Panicum hallii
Lineage: Eukaryota; Viridiplantae; Streptophyta; Magnoliopsida; Poales; Poaceae
Exons: 3
Source: RefSeq, a predicted model, not a curated record
GGAAAAAAGAAACUACGAUUGAAGUUGCCCCAGCUUCAUCGCUGCCGCCGACGCCGACGCCCAGGCCCUUGCCGGCGCAUGUCCCUGGUCCGGGGAUGGCGGCGCGGCACAGGCGAGGCGCGGGACCGGCUAAGCGGCGCAGCGGUGGCGUCAUCUUCAUCGCUGCCGCCGACGCCGCCGCCGCCGCCGAGGGCCACCCCCCGCCGCCGCAUGUCACUUGGUCCGGCGAUGGCGGCGCGGCACGUUUGGGGCGGGGUUCGGGUAAACGGCGCAGCAUCAAGGAGUGGGGACGACUGGGAGGCGCGGGGCCGGCGUAGGGCACGAGCGCACAGCCGCUGGGCGAGCUCGCGCCGCCGCCGGCGACAUACGAGACCCCACCCGGCAAGAAGUGGCCCGUUCUCCCAUCCCUCAAAUUCGCGCCACGGACACCGGCUCCGGCCUCUAGGAAGCGAGAUGCCACCCACCUGCAGGAUACAGCUCGGCGAGGUCCGACACCGCUGGCAAGCCGCUCUGCUCCUGCAAUUCAUCAUACUCUGAGCUCUUGACAUAAAUAAGAAUUCAGACCAAGUGGGAUGCAACGCGGGGGACGGUGCCCACCAGGGAUUCAGUCUAAGGGAGAAUUCAAGGGAGGAUAUCACCCGUUUGCGGCGAAGCAAGUCCGGGUUAUUCCAAAGUUUAAUAAUAUCAAAAUGCUGCACAAAAGGGGCGGUGGACGUCGCGGGGGGGCGAGCUGCUCGUACGCCACGCCGGGAUGACGACGAGAUCACCACGGCGCCGGGAGCCGGGACGCAGAGGGGUGCGGCGAAUUACUCUGCUCGCGCGCGGCCGACGGCAGAUGCUGGCCAUUCAGACUUGAGCUGGGAGAGAUCACCAUCAGGAGCACUCCGAUCGCCGAGCUGAGGAAAUCGAUUGACCACUCUUACCUGCAGUGCUGUUAGAUGAUCUUCAGUUGUUCUAGUACUCCUGCUGCUACUUGCGCUAUAUAUGCUAUGUCGAGGCCUGCAGAUCUCUUCCUAUGCUAGAACUUAAUGUCAUUAUGACCUUACUUUGUUUCUUGAGUGCCAGUUACAUGUGUGGAUUGAGGUUCUGUAUGAAGUUACUCUGGUUACAA